CGUUGUAGCUCGCCCCGGUCGCCUUGUCCACCAGGACUUGACCCGGAUAACCCGGGUAUGCCCCGGUUCCGAAAAUGCCCGUGCAGGCAGAGACCGCCUCGAGCGGCGCGGUGGCCGGCCCUUGGAAGUAUCCAUUGUUGUACGGAUUGGUUACUGUUCCCGCCAAGAGAGUGGCGAGGUUUAUGAUCAUGCCGUCAACUCCGACGUCGCCGUUUGGGGCCACUAACGGCGGGGUUUGCGGGCCGUAAAUGGGCUGGUGAAAGGGCCAGGCGCAUUGGCCGGGGCACUGGACCACCGAGUUCCCAACCCACACGUAAGCCGACUUCUUGUCCCGGGCGGAGCCGUGGGUACCGCAGCGGCUACAGAAGCCGUCGACCGCCACGUCACUGGCAGUCAAAACCACGUUGAUGGCCUUCAACGCGUUGACUUUGCCGGCGAGGGCUACCAGGUGCCGGUUGCCGAGGGACUUUCCGAGAGAGUAGGCCUCGUGGAGGAUUUGCCUGCCGACGACGAGAUUGGAGGCGCCGCCCUUGUACUUCUCGGUGGUUUUCCACCAGGAGGAGGCAGAGGGGAGUGGGCCCCGCCGGGGGGCGAGGGAGUGGAUGAAGUCGACGAUGAUGGAGCGUUGGAUUGGGGUGAAGUGGCCGUACCAGAUGAGAUUGACGGUGAUGUUGCCUUUGAGAAGAGCGCCGUUGUGGU
This 699-nucleotide long non-coding RNA is filed under the name Malus domestica (apple). Its description in RNAcentral is "long non-coding RNA (MDOM_LNC009041)". The record is from RNAcentral. Lineage: Eukaryota; Viridiplantae; Streptophyta; Magnoliopsida; Rosales; Rosaceae.